AACGAACGCUGGCGGCAGGCCUAACACAUGCAAGUCGAGCGAGGACUUCGGUCCUAGCGGCGGACGGGUGAGUAACGCGUGGGAACGUGCCCUUUGCUUCGGAAUAGCCCUGGGAAACUGGGAGUAAUACCGGAUGAGCCCUUUGGGGGAAAGAUUUAUCGGCGAAGGAUCGGCCCGCGUUGGAUUAGGUAGUUGGUGGGGUAAUGGCCUACCAAGCCGACGAUCCAUAGCUGGUUUGAGAGGAUGAUCAGCCACACUGGGACUGAGACACGGCCCAGACUCCUACGGGAAGCAGCAGUGGGGAAUCUUAGACAAUGGGGGAAACCCUGAUCUAGCCAUGCCGCGUGAGAGAUGAAGGCCUUAGGGUUGUAAAGCUCUUUCAGCUGGGAAGAUAAUGACGGUACCAGCAGAAGAAGCCCCGGCUAACUCCGUG
Molecule: ribosomal RNA, 433 nt
Filed under: uncultured bacterium
Lineage: Bacteria
Description: partial 16S ribosomal RNA
Rfam family: Bacterial small subunit ribosomal RNA
Source: RNAcentral